UACGUAGGCAGCAAGCGUUGUUCGGAAUUACUGGGCGUAAAGAGUGUGUAGGUGGUGUCGUAAGUUUGGUGUGAAAUCUCCCGGCUUAACUGGGAGGGUGCGCCGAAGACUGCGAUGCUGGAGUAUGGGAGAGGAAAGCGGAAUUCCUGGUGUAGCGGUGAAAUGCGCAGAUAUCAGGAGGAACACCGGUGGCGAAGGCGGGUCUCUGGGCCGAUACUGACGCUGAGGAGCGAAAGCGUGGGGAGCGAACAGG
RNAcentral lists this ribosomal RNA (253 nucleotides) under uncultured bacterium. RNAcentral describes it as "partial 16S ribosomal RNA". It matches the Rfam family "Bacterial small subunit ribosomal RNA", at positions 524 to 776 of the family's 1533-position model. The record is from RNAcentral.